This 294-nucleotide signal recognition particle RNA is filed under the name Carlito syrichta (Philippine tarsier). Its description in RNAcentral is "Metazoan signal recognition particle RNA (ENSTSYG00000034430.1)". It matches the Rfam family "Metazoan signal recognition particle RNA". From Rfam's summary of the family: The signal recognition particle (SRP) is a universally conserved ribonucleoprotein. It is involved in the co-translational targeting of proteins to membranes. The eukaryotic SRP consists of a 300-nucleotide 7S RNA and six proteins: SRPs 72, 68, 54, 19, 14, and 9. Lineage: Eukaryota; Metazoa; Chordata; Mammalia; Primates; Tarsiidae. The record is from Rfam by way of RNAcentral.
ACCAGGUGCAGCGGCAUGUGCCUGCAGUCCCAGCUACUCAUGAGAUUAAGGCUGAAGGAUGGCUUAAGUCCAAGAGCUCUAGGCUAUAGUGCACUAUGCCAACUGAGUGUCCACACUAAACUUGGCAUCAAUAUGGUGACCCCCAGGAGGAGGGGACUACCAGGUUGCCUACAGAGGAGUGAACCAGCCCAGAUCAGAAACAAAGCAGGUCAAAACACCUGUACUGCUCAGUAAUGGGAUCGUGCCUGUGAAUAGCCACUGCACUCCAGGCUGGGCAACAGAGCAAAACCUUAU